GAUGAACGCUCGCUACAGGCUUAACACAUGCAAGUCGAGGGGAAACGAUGAGAGAGCUUGCUCUCUUAGUCGUCGACCGGCGCACGGGUGAGUAACGCGUAUCCAACCUGCCUCUGACCAAGGGAUAACCCGUCGAAAGUCGGACUAAUACCUUAUGCAGUCGUCGGAAGUCAUCUGAUGACGACGAAAGAUUUCAUCGGUGAGAGAUGGGGAUGCGUCUGAUUAGCUUGUUGGCGGGGUAACGGCCCACCAAGGCGACGAUCAGUAGGGGUUCUGAGAGGAAGGUCCCCCACAUUGGAACUGAGACACGGUCCAAACGCCUACGGGAGGCAGCAGUGAGGAAUAUUGGUCAAUGGGCGUAAGCCUGAACCAGCCAAGUAGCGUGCAGGAUGACGGCCCUAUGGGUGGUAAACUGCUUUUAUGCGGGGAUAAAGUGAGGGACGUGUCCUUCAUUGCAGGUACCGCAUGAAUAAGGACCGGCUAAUUCCGUG
Molecule: ribosomal RNA, 491 nt
Filed under: uncultured bacterium
Lineage: Bacteria
Description: partial 16S ribosomal RNA
Rfam family: Bacterial small subunit ribosomal RNA
Source: RNAcentral